Non-coding RNA from Camellia sinensis, 351 nucleotides. The record is from RefSeq and is a predicted model, not a curated record. Lineage: Eukaryota; Viridiplantae; Streptophyta; Magnoliopsida; Ericales; Theaceae.
UGCACAUUACUAGUAUUUUGGUUUCAUGAUGCCAUGCUUAUUAUUCCUAAUGAGUUGUGACAAUAUCAAGUAUUGACUGUAGUGUGCAUCUAAUUUUCAGAUUUCUCGAUAGACUAGUGAGUACACUAGAGGAAAAGAAACACCACCAAGUGAAGUUAAAGGAGGGGUUGAAGGACUUGUCUGCCAAACAGAUGGAGCUGUAGAAUUCAUUGACAUCAUUGUGGCCAAAGCAGCCUCUUGUAUCAGGUGCCGCUAUAGGAUUGGAAGGGCAGUUCCUGGUAUUAUUGGCUGCCACCAAGCCCUUGAAGCUAUAAAGAUUGCAAGUGAUGUUGGUGAACCACUUUCAAGAAG